This is a long non-coding RNA of Lucilia cuprina (Australian sheep blowfly), 421 nucleotides long. RefSeq lists it as uncharacterized. NCBI's taxonomy places the organism in Eukaryota, Metazoa, Arthropoda, Insecta, Diptera, Calliphoridae. The transcript is spliced from 3 exons. The record is from RefSeq and is a predicted model, not a curated record.
UUUUUUAAACAUAAAUGCUUUGAAUAUUAAAAAAAAUAUAUUGUUUCCUAAAACAAUAAUUAAACAAAUUUAAAUAAAAUAUAAAAAAAAAAUUAUUAAGAAAUACUAUAAAAAACAAAAUUAACAAGAAUUUCAUAAAGGAUACGCCUAAAACUGUGAUUAAAAACAACAACAAUUUUAUUUCAAGGGAUUACCUAUCUAUAUUUUUGCCAGAAACUACAAAACUGCAAGGAUUUUAACAAAAUUUUAUCACUAACAAAAUUUUAUUGGAUUUAAAUAUUUUCGUUUGCAAAACAUUAUUAUUAUUUCGCUUAAAUAAAUAAACAAAUUUGAUUGAUCGUUCAACAACAGCAUUAUAAUUCUCAAACUCAAACACACACACACUAUAUUUUGCUGUUAAUUCUACUAAUUACAACAAAAA